GGUUGUAGCUCAGUGGUAGAGUGCUUGCCUCGCAUGUGUGAGGCCCUGGGUUCGGUCUCCAGCAUCA
This 67-nucleotide transfer RNA is filed under the name Marmota monax (woodchuck). Its description in RNAcentral is "tRNA.Ala". The record is from RNAcentral. Lineage: Eukaryota; Metazoa; Chordata; Mammalia; Rodentia; Sciuridae.